GGCAAAAAGAUCCGUAACUUCGGGAAAAGGAUUGGCUCUAAGGGUUGGGUACGUUGGGCUUUGGGUAGAAGCUCUGGGAGCAGAUCGCCACUAGCCGGGCAACCGGUCGGCGGCUUUCAGCAUCCGGGGUGGACGCCCAUGGCAGGCUUCGGCCGCUCCGGCGUACGGUUAACAACCAACUUAGAACUGGUACGGACAAGGG
Molecule: ribosomal RNA, 202 nt
Filed under: Thalassiosira rotula
Lineage: Eukaryota; Bacillariophyta; Thalassiosirophyceae; Thalassiosirales; Thalassiosiraceae
Description: partial Eukaryotic large subunit ribosomal RNA
Rfam family: Eukaryotic large subunit ribosomal RNA
Source: RNAcentral